AGUGAACGCUGGCGGUAGGCCUAACACAUGCAAGUCGAACGGCAGCACAGUAAGAGCUUGCUCUUACGGGUGGCGAGUGGCGGACGGGUGAGGAAUACAUCGGAAUCUACUUUUUCGUGGGGGAUAACGUAGGGAAACUUACGCUAAUACCGCAUACGACCUACGGGUGAAAGCAGGGGAUCUUCGGACCUUGCGCGAUUGAAUGAGCCGAUGUCGGAUUAGCUAGUUGGCGGGGUAAAGGCCCACCAAGGCGACGAUCCGUAGCUGGUCUGAGAGGAUGAUGAGCACAACUGGAACUGAGACACGUCCCAGACUCCAACGGGAGGCAGCAGUGGGGAAUAUUGGCCAAUGGGCGCAAGCCUGCUCAAGCAAUACGGCGUGGGUGAAGAAGGCCUUCGGGUUGUAAAGCCCUUUUGUUGGGAAAGAAAAGCAGCAGGUUAAUACCCCGCUGUUCUGACGGUACCAAAAGAAUAAGCACCGGCUAACUUCGU
Molecule: ribosomal RNA, 491 nt
Filed under: uncultured bacterium
Lineage: Bacteria
Description: partial 16S ribosomal RNA
Rfam family: Bacterial small subunit ribosomal RNA
Source: RNAcentral